UAAAGGUGCAAAAUUAUAAUGAUCUUUUGGAUAUUGACUGAUGAGGAAUAAGCUAUGAAUUUUCUGUUUACGUUUUUGUAAAUUUU
This is a long non-coding RNA of Octopus sinensis (East Asian common octopus), 86 nucleotides long. RefSeq lists it as uncharacterized. Lineage: Eukaryota; Metazoa; Mollusca; Cephalopoda; Octopoda; Octopodidae. The transcript has 3 exons. The record is from RefSeq and is a predicted model, not a curated record.